Podarcis raffonei (Aeolian wall lizard) is the source of this 618-nucleotide long non-coding RNA. RefSeq lists it as uncharacterized. The record is from RefSeq and is a predicted model, not a curated record. The transcript has 2 exons. NCBI's taxonomy places the organism in Eukaryota, Metazoa, Chordata, Lepidosauria, Squamata, Lacertidae.
GCAAGUUGUGGUGGUCAUUGUGACUGUGUCAAGUUCUCUAUGACAUCAUAGUUUGCUCUGCAUUGCAGAUUGGCAGGGUGCUGGUUGUUUUUCCAUGUAAAAUGAAAGCCUUCUAGCUUCCGGAUCAUCUUAUCAACUCUGGCCCAACAUCACAGUAUUUUGGAGCAAGAAAUACAGAGAGGCGUGACCAGAAAGGAAGAAGAUGGAAAAAGCAACAAGCAGAUCAUCUAUACUGGACCUGGUACUCACCAACAGGGAGGAGCUGAUCAAAGAAGUGGAAGUAUUCAGAAACUUGGGAGGAAGUGAUCAUGUUUUCCUGGGUUUCAGGAUACAGAGGCAAGGGAAAGCUGAGUGUAGUCGGACAUGCACUCUGGACUUUAAGAAGGCCAAAUUCAAAAAGCUGAAGGAGCUAUUGGGUGAGAUCCCAUGGUCAGAAAUACUCAGAGAGAAGGAAGUCCAAGAUAAAUGGGAGUUUCUUAAAGAUGAAAUUUUGAAGGCCCAAACGCAGACAACUCCAACAAGAAAAAAGCAGGAAGCAUCUAAGGAAACAAGCUUUUUAUGAAUGCUAACAUUUUGGCAGUGUUCUAAUUUCAUUGAGUAGAUAAAGAAGAGAACAAG